GCGGCAGUGGGAUCUGAAUUUCUGGGAUGAUUUAAACAUUUAAUGUAGCGAAAGAUAAAGAAAACCUUAUAGAAAUCACUACGGAAUUCCGUAAGGAGUGAAGAAAAUAAAAGGAAUAGUCUAUAUAGCUAAGAUAAAUGAAACCUUAUAGAAAUCACUACGGAAUUCCGUAAGGAGUGAAGAAAAUAAAAGGAAUAGUCUAUAUAGCUAAGAUAAAUGAAACCUUAUAGAAAUCACUACGGAAUUCCGUAAGGAGUGAAGAAAAUAAAAGGAAUAGUCUAUAUAGCUAAGAUAAAUGAAACCUUAUAGAAAUCACUACGGAAUUCCGUAGUGUUUCUUGGGGAUUUAACGUCCUGGGAAUUCAGAUCCCGAGGCUG
RNAcentral lists this ribosomal RNA (377 nucleotides) under Taylorella asinigenitalis. Its description in RNAcentral is "bacterial LSU rRNA". The record is from RNAcentral. Lineage: Bacteria; Pseudomonadati; Pseudomonadota; Betaproteobacteria; Burkholderiales; Alcaligenaceae.